This 497-nucleotide ribosomal RNA is filed under the name uncultured bacterium. Its description in RNAcentral is "partial 16S ribosomal RNA". It matches the Rfam family "Bacterial small subunit ribosomal RNA", at positions 28 to 507 of the family's 1533-position model. The record is from RNAcentral.
GAUGAACGCUGGCGGCGUGCCUAAUACAUGCAAGUCGAGCGAACGUACGAGAAGCUUGCUUUUCUGAUGUUGGCGGCGGACGGGUGAGUAACACGUGGAUAACCUACCUAUAAGACUGGGAUAACUUCGGGAAACCGGAGCUAAUACCGGAUAAUAUUUUGAACCGCAUGGUUCAAAAGUGAAAGACGGUCUUGCUGUCACUUAUAGAUGGAUCCGCGCUUCAUUAGCUAGUUGGUAAGGAAACGGCUUACCAAGGCAACGAUGCAUAGCCGACCUGGGAGGGUGAUCGGCCACACUGGAACUGAGACACGGUCAAGACUCCUACGGGAGGCAGCAGUAGGGAAUCUUCCGCAAUGGGCGAAAGCCUGACGGAGCAACGCCGCGUGAGUGAUGAAGGUCUUCGGAUCGUAAAACUCUGUUAUUAGGGAAGAACAUAUGUGUAAGUAACUGUGCACAUCUUGACGGUACCUAAUCAGAAAGCCACGGCUAACUACGUG